Molecule: transfer RNA, 71 nt
Filed under: Candidatus Taylorbacteria bacterium RIFCSPLOWO2_02_FULL_46_40
Lineage: Bacteria; Candidatus Tayloriibacteriota
Also listed under: 1 other name
Description: tRNA-Gly
Rfam family: tRNA
About the family: Transfer RNA (tRNA) molecules are approximately 80 nucleotides in length.
Source: RNAcentral
GCGGGUAUGGUUUAGUGGUAGGACGCGUCCUUGCCAAGGACGAGGCGGGGUUUCGAUUACCCCUACCCGCA